CCUACGGGAGGCAGCAGUAGGGAAUAUUGGUCAAUGGAUGCAAGUCUGAACCAGCCAUGCCGCGUGCAGGAAGAAGGCCUUCUGGGUUGUAAACUGCUUUUGCCAGGGGAUAAAAAGCCCAUGCGUGGGAACUUGAAGGUACCUGGUGAAUAAGCCACGGCUAACUACGUGCCAGCAGCCGCGGUAAUACGUAGGUGGCAAGCGUUGUCCGGAUUUAUUGGGUUUAAAGGGUGCGUAGGCGGUCUAUUAAGUCAGUGCUGAAAUAUCCCGGCUUAACCGGGAGGGUGGCAUUGAUACUGAUGGACUUGAGUGCAGUCGAGGUAGGCGGAAUUGACGGUGUAGCGGUGAAAUGCUUAGAUAUCGUCAAGAACACCGAUAGUGAAGACAGCUUACUAGGCUGUAACUGACGCUGAGGCACGAAAGUGUGGGGAUCAAACAGG
RNAcentral lists this ribosomal RNA (440 nucleotides) under uncultured bacterium. RNAcentral describes it as "bacterial SSU rRNA". It matches the Rfam family "Bacterial small subunit ribosomal RNA", at positions 338 to 776 of the family's 1533-position model. The record is from RNAcentral.